CAGUUACUCUCUGGGAAAAUGAAGUGUUUGGAGGCUGCAAAGCGGUAUAAGCUGUAAUAACUCCCUGGGAAGAGGGAGGAGUGCUUGGUGCUGGUACACCCAGAGAGGGGAGGGGAAUCAGAGUGUAGGAAGCAGUCCAAGGAAGAAGCAGUGAGGGUAGAGAGGAAAGCUCAGAAUUGCUGCACUGAGGGUCCUUGGAACCCGGAGUAGUGGAUGGGCCUGGGUUCCCUUACUAGCCACCCAGGGCAUGGCAUAGACCAGAGACAGUGAAUGGGACAACUGCCUAGGACUCCUGAAGGAAAGACUUUGAUAUACCCUGGCUAGGUCACUCAGCAUUUCCCACUUCCAGGGGACUAAGUCUGAAGAAGAUGCUGCAGUUCCUGGAGUGAGAGAGGGAGUGCAGACUAGAGUCUCAGAAUGACUGCAUGCAAACCAAAGAAGGGGGGGCAUUGCCCUCAAGAGCUAAUCCACAGAGUACUCAGGAGGAAGUGCCAGACCAGUGCAAACAGACAGGACCUUCUGUCCAAGAGGGGCCCCCAGUCCUUCCUGGAAAGCUUGAAAGGAUUUUGUCCUGUUGAGGCCCCAUAAGGCUGAUAAGUGACCUCUGGUAUACAUCACAUAUACAUAAACACACACAGCCCACAGCCUCCUGCUAACUCUCCUUCAGCUUAGAGGAGGAAAAUCAGCUCUUGCAGCUGACACAAUAUUGCUGCUUGGCCAGCUGGCAGAGUAUAAUUUUACAUGGGAGAAGAGGCUCCCCAGAGAUCAGAAGUCCAUCUCCACACUGUAGCUGUAUGAGUGAGCCAGCUCAAUAAUGUAUGCGUAUU
Molecule: long non-coding RNA, 827 nt
Organism: Mauremys reevesii (Reeves's turtle)
Lineage: Eukaryota; Metazoa; Chordata; Testudines; Geoemydidae
Exons: 3
Source: RefSeq, a predicted model, not a curated record